GCCCACCUAGCUCAGAUGGUAGAGCGUAUCCUUGGUAAGGAUAAGGUAAUCGGUUCAAUCCCGAUGGUGGGCU
RNAcentral lists this transfer RNA (73 nucleotides) under Candidatus Wallbacteria bacterium. Its description in RNAcentral is "tRNA-Thr". It matches the Rfam family "tRNA". From Rfam's summary of the family: Transfer RNA (tRNA) molecules are approximately 80 nucleotides in length. Their secondary structure includes four short double-helical elements and three loops (D, anti-codon, and T loops). The record is from RNAcentral. Lineage: Bacteria; Candidatus Walliibacteriota.